UGCUUUUAGCUUUUCCAGGAGUUUAGGCCGAAAACUGUAGUGUUGUGUGGGAAACCCAAGUCUCCCUCACAUCAGAAAAUAUUAAUGGACUCUCCUUUAAGAUGUAUCUAGGGGCUGGUGAGAUGGCUCAGUGGUUAAGAGUGCCGACUGCUCUUCCAAAGGUCCCGAGUUCAAAUCCCAGCAACCAUAUGGUGGCUCACAACCAUCUGUAACGAAAUCUGAUGCCCUCUUCUGGAGUGUCUGAAGACAGCUACAGUGUACUUACAUAUAAGAAAUAAAUGAAUCUUUAAAAAAAAAAGAUGUAUCUAGACUCCAACCAUUUCUUACCUUCACCAUCACCCCUCAUGUUGGGGUGUCUGCCGGUGCUCCUUAGCCUUCCUCAUUCUUAUCCUCAACUUCUAAAUCCAGAUUUAAAAAUUACAGACAAAAACUUUAUGUAAAACAGCAUUACCAUUAGGCCAGUUUUCUAGCCUCCAAAUAUUAAACAUGGUUUGUAUUCUGGGCUGCUCCCUGGAAUCCUGAGCCUGCCUGUCCUUGUUCAGAAGUGAUAACAACUACCAGCUCUCAGGUUUGGGCUUAAUUUUCUAAUAUGGUCUUAAUGACCAAAAAACCCCUAGAAAUGAGGUAAUGGCAAAACCAGGCUGAGGUUUCUUUGAGGUUAUUAAUUUUUAUUUCCUGCUGGCUAAAUUAGGCCUGUGGUUCUCCCAAGCAGCACAGAGCAGUGAUUUCAGCAGAACCCUGCCAGAGUGGGUUCAAGGGAUUCAUCCAAGCCUGGCACAAGAGAGCCGUUGGGUGAAAACUCAAGGAGCUGCUACAAAGUCAACUGAAGAAAUGAGUCUCGACUAAGCUUCAUUAAACUGCAAGUGGUCCUUGCUGCUCUCCCUCCCCUGUGGCCCUCACUGCAGGCUGAACUGCUUUGCACUGCAAACUCCGGUCUGAGGAGUGGAGGUAAUGUUGAUGGUGGCUAAUGAUUACUAGCCGUUUGGUUAAUAUCGGUGAUUGCUACUCACUUGGUGGCAGACACUGUUCUGAAUAUUUUUAUAGUCAGUCAUUCACCUGUUCUUUCUCUCAUAAAAAUGUACAUACACAUCUCUCACACACACACACACACACACACACACACACACACACACACACACACACGUACAUAUACAGCAUAUACAUACACAUACAUAUACUACAUAUACAACACAUAUAAAACAUGCAGCAUAUA
Molecule: long non-coding RNA, 1213 nt
Filed under: Mus musculus (house mouse)
Lineage: Eukaryota; Metazoa; Chordata; Mammalia; Rodentia; Muridae
Description: long non-coding RNA chr16:23553985-23555198
Source: RNAcentral